ACCUUCUUAUAUCCCAAAUGAGCUAAGUCUUCCACCUUACUUCUGCUGCUAAGAGCCGAGAGAGGGAGAGAGGAAGAAUAAGAGAGAAACCUCUUCAUUUCUUCUUGGAUUCAUCUAUAAAGCAAGAAUCAAACCAAACCAAACCGAUUAAUCUUCUCCUUGAGUGAUUAGCUAGUGUUUGGUGGUGAAAUUUUGGAAAGAGAAGGCUUGGGCUACCCUUGGAGAACUCAAAUCAAGAGCUGGACUUCAAACCUGGAGUAUAGUUGAACGUGAAUACUUGAAGCACUAGAUUUUGUGGAUCGAGGUAAAGGAAGACCUUGUAUUUGGAUCUUUGUGU
Molecule: long non-coding RNA, 337 nt
Organism: Coffea arabica (coffee)
Lineage: Eukaryota; Viridiplantae; Streptophyta; Magnoliopsida; Gentianales; Rubiaceae
Source: RefSeq, a predicted model, not a curated record